GGCUCAGUAGCUUAGUUGGUAAAGAGCUCGUAGCAUACAAGAGUCCUGGGUUCGAAAUGAGCGGUAGGAU
Molecule: transfer RNA, 70 nt
Filed under: Aedes aegypti (yellow fever mosquito)
Lineage: Eukaryota; Metazoa; Arthropoda; Insecta; Diptera; Culicidae
Description: partial tRNA-OTHER
Source: RNAcentral